GAAAUGCGAUACUUGGUGUGAAUUGCAGAAUUCCGUGAAUCAUCGAAUCUUUGAACGCACAUUGCGCCUUCUGGUAUUCCGGUAGGCAUGCCUGUUUGAGCGUCAGCAAAACACCCUCAGUCUGAGUAUUUUUUGUAUUCAGCACUGGUUUUGGGCAGCGGAUGCCGGUGGUUAUUACUUUCCACCUGCGCCCUCCCUAAAAUUGCUGCACGACCGCAAGCCCCUUCUAGCCAGGUCAAUGGAGUGGUGUUACAAUCUUCCAGAAAGCCUGCUGGUAAACUGCUUUGCGGCGUUAAUCCUUAAUGCCUCCCUUGGUGGAGACUUGAAGUUUUGACCUCAGAUCAGACAAGGAUACCCGCUGAACUUAA
This 368-nucleotide unclassified non-coding RNA is filed under the name uncultured fungus. RNAcentral's name for it is "sequence contains ITS1". The stretch from base 1 to 105 matches the Rfam family "5.8S ribosomal RNA", at positions 50 to 154 of the family's 154-position model. The record is from RNAcentral. Lineage: Eukaryota; Fungi.